GGUGCCUGGUGAGCUCAAGUGAACACCUGCAUUUGAUUGCGUUCCUGUGUGUAAAGAAGCAGUUGGCUUGGUCGAGGGAUCGGAGGACGUCCACUCAUCUUCAAUUGUCCUGAACUGUUUUGAGGAAUUGCUGCGAGGAGGGAAUAUAACUGGGGAGAAAAAUCAGGGGCUAAAGCAUCUUCUGAUGGAGAGCAGGACCUCUGAAUGUCCAGGACUCUCUUCUCCUAAAGAAGAAACAAAAUGCAGUUUGUCAAAAGCCACGCCGAUGAGUGGCAUGGACAGUCUUCUGUCCUGAGGCCCAGGGCCUUGCAGCAGCCCUGAGAUGUAUAACCUGGACCCUUUCCUAGCUGACGCUCCGCUGGAACACGCCCAUCUGCUGGUUGGGGGAUCGGCAGCUUUGAAUCACCGGCUGCUCUCCCUCCCAACCAAACACAGCAGGGUGGCGUGAUAUUCUUGAACAUGCACCACUUACCUUUGUAAAAGAGAACAGAAGAGUCAUUUUCAUUGUGUAAUAUGACCAGA
Long non-coding RNA from Polyodon spathula (Mississippi paddlefish), 522 nucleotides. RefSeq lists it as uncharacterized. The record is from RefSeq and is a predicted model, not a curated record. NCBI's taxonomy places the organism in Eukaryota, Metazoa, Chordata, Actinopteri, Acipenseriformes, Polyodontidae. The transcript has 4 exons.